RNAcentral lists this small nuclear RNA (107 nucleotides) under Catagonus wagneri (Chacoan peccary). Lineage: Eukaryota; Metazoa; Chordata; Mammalia; Artiodactyla; Tayassuidae. The record is from RNAcentral.
AUGCUCGCUUCAGCAGCACAUAUACUAAAAUCGGAACAAUACAGAGAAGAUUAGCUUGGCCCCUGUGCAAGGAUGACAUGCAAAUUCAUGAAGCGUUUCAUAUUUUU